UACGGUGACAUCACUUUGAAACACCGGUUCCCGUAUGAUCACCGAAGCUAAGCAACGAUGAGUCUGGUCACUACCAAGAUGGGUGACCACUUCGUAA
Acanthosepion pharaonis is the source of this 97-nucleotide non-coding RNA. NCBI's taxonomy places the organism in Eukaryota, Metazoa, Mollusca, Cephalopoda, Sepiida, Sepiidae. The record is from the annotation of a GenBank genome assembly.